This 541-nucleotide ribosomal RNA is filed under the name uncultured archaeon. RNAcentral's name for it is "bacterial SSU rRNA". It matches the Rfam family "Archaeal small subunit ribosomal RNA", at positions 326 to 867 of the family's 1478-position model. The record is from RNAcentral.
CGGGGUGCACCAGGCGCGAAAACUUUACAAUGCGGGAAACCGUGAUAAGGGGACACCGAGUGCCAGCAUCAUAUGCUGGCUGUCCAGGUGUGUAAAAUACACCUGUUAGCAAGGGCCGGGCAAGACCGGUGCCAGCCGCCGCGGUAACACCGGCGGCCCGAGUGGUGAUCGUGAUUAUUGGGUCUAAAGGGUCCGUAGCCGGUUUGGUCAGUCCUCCGGGAAAUCUGACGGCUCAACCGUUAGGCUUUCGGGGGAUACUGCCAGGCUUGGAACCGGGAGAGGUAAGAGGUACUACAGGGGUAGGAGUGAAAUCUUGUAAUCCCUGUGAGACCACCUGUGGCGAAGGCGUCUUACCAGAACGGGUUCGACGGUGAGGGACGAAAGCUGGGGGCACGAACCGGAUUAGAUACCCGGGUAGUCCCAGCCGUAAACGAUGCUCGCUAGGUGUCAGGCAUGGCGCGACCGUGUCUGGUGCCGCAGGGAAGCCGUGAAGCGAGCCACCUGGGAAGUACGGCCGCAAGGCUGAAACUUAAAGGAAUGG